AAAGAUUCAACCUAGCCAUGAUCAAAUGACUAGUACGGAUUAACAGAAAGGAGAACAAAGGUGUUGGCAUUUGUAGGUUGGCUCCAGUAAGUUCCAAGGGCCAGCAACUAAAUGUGAACUCUGAUUCUUUCCUGGCUUCUCUGCAUUGUUUGGAAUUAGAAUUGCCUAAAUACCAUGAGUAAUAUGGAAGUUCUCCGAAGGGGUCCCUGAACUAGUCCUCAGGGACUCUGGAGCUGAUUAGGUUUGCCUGUGCCCAUAGGAACAUAGACAGAAUCGCCACCUUUGACUAUUCCUUCCUCAUUCACCCAAGGGAUCCAUAUCCCUUCCAUCCACUGUAUGGAAACAACAUACAGCUCCUGCUUUUCUCCAAGGUAUGCCUCUUCCCCAUAGAAAUUCUGUUUUGUUUCAUCUUAUGGUUUUUCAGGUCAGGGAAAAGUCGGUAAAAUACCUAUAUUCUUUGGGUUUAUGGUUCAUUUGAAGUAUUGUGCCUCAUUUGCUUGGUCUCUUCAAGAAAUUGCUCUGCGAAUGCCUUAUCAGCUUCACUCUCCACAGCACGUAAACCAGUGACUUGGGGCUAUUCCCUCCAGUGAGGCACCCUCCAGCCCCCGCUAGCUUUUUUUCCUUUCUUUUCUUUGUGUGUGUGUGGGGGGGGGGGGGAAGGGGGGUGAAAUCAAACUUAGACUUUCCUUGAAGUUUUGAUAACAUU
Molecule: long non-coding RNA, 706 nt
Filed under: Canis lupus familiaris (dog)
Lineage: Eukaryota; Metazoa; Chordata; Mammalia; Carnivora; Canidae
Description: lncRNA (ENSCAFG00000042007.2)
Source: RNAcentral